GGCUGAAGUGAGUUAGGUGUCCAGCCGUGUCUGCUUUCUCAGUGUUCCGCUUGCCUGUUGCAAGAUUGUUCUAAUGUUAAUUACACUAGUAAAAUGGCUCAGUCCUUGUGGUGUUGCAGUUUUCACAUAAUUAAUACUUUUAUUCUUAUUAAAAUAGAGUACUGUACAAGAACCUAGUAUAAUUAUAUCUUGAAAUUAUUUUGUAUAAGAAUAUAUUUAGAAAAGUGGUUUCUGAGCCACUGACCUAUUCUUGGUAAACUUUUAUGUAAAAAAGAAUAAACAACCAAAAAAAAACCCAAAAUGCCAGCUUAUUCUUGAGUGUACAAGUCUUUUGUGAAGAAUUCCAAUUAUUUUUUGACCAGAGCACAUUGCAGUUGGAGAUGUCCUAAACGUCUGGGUAGUCUACCAUUGCACAGGAAAUUGCUUUAGGCCUUCAUGUUGAAACAUACGUCACUUGGACAACUGAAAUUCAAAAUGUUGACAGCUGAUCAUAUCGACUUCUAAUAAAAUAAAUGUGUAAGUACAUUAACAUUUGUUACUGUCUUAGGCAAGUGAGUGCUGUCUAGCCAAUGUUGUGAGUACAUCAUUGUGUCAUUGGCAUUUUAUGAAAGCGUUGCUUUUUCAGUUGACCUUAGGUGUGUAUCGUGGAAUGCCGAGGGUUAUAUAAGGUGACUUUAAAUACUAGGAUUUUUAGAUAACAUUCACCCUUUUAUGGACUUCCAAACAAUCUCAGAUUGUUAGCUGAGUAUCACAUUUCCAAACCAUAUGCACAAAACAAAACAAACAACGUACAGUAGAUAAAUAUGCCGACCAAAACUAGUGGUGUGGGGAUGCUGUUAUUUUAAAUACUGUAGUAACCAGGGGAGGUGGGAUUAUUGUUUUAACUGAGUUCAUUAAAGGUGAGUGGAUUAGAAGUCAGAAAUAUGCUGAUGCCCUUGAUGUCGGCAGUUUGGUUUAGUCUUCAUUCAUUUUGAAAUUAGCCUGCAAGUCAAACUCCCCUAAUACCUUACUACAUGAAAAGCCUUUUAGAGCUUGUAAAAUACAUAGUUGUUUCAAAAAAGGAAAAGAAAACUGGACUAUGUCUGCUGGUUGCUUUGAAAUGAGCUGAGUUCUGAGAGAAAGAGAGAAAUUAGACAAACGGCAUGUUUUAGAACUCAGAUAAGAGCACCGUGGGUGGGGUCCACAAGUCGGUAUUUCCACACCAUGAACACAGUUGUUUGUGUUCUCCAGUAAAAUAUUUCACAAGUUCGUGCUUCUGAGUUCCAGAGUACUUCCUAGAGGUGGACAUUGUACAGCUCUGAGAAGCACACAGAAUACAGUUCCAUCUUGGCUUAUUUCAGAAUAUAAAAGGCUGGAAAUUUAUUAUUAUUUUUCCUAACAUUUUUUUCAAGUCAAAAAGUUUGUAUUAAAGUUGCUGCAUUAGAAGGCCACAGCAAUCAUCUUGUUGGAUUGGAUGUUUCUCAUGAGCAGGAUUUAAAAGAAAUUUAAUUUACUCUAAAAUGUAGAGAAAACCAUAACACUUGGCAAAAACUGAGUUUAUUAUCUAACUACAGAAAUUAUAAUUCCUAGUUAUCCUUAAGAAAAUGUUAAAGGUCUUACAAUUCAUCACAUUUAGAUGAAUGUGUUUUACAUAUGAAGGUUAAUUUUAAUUAAGUCAAAAUCAGUUUUGAAAGCCACAUGCUAAGAGUUGGUUAUUUGGCUCCUCAACCAAAAUUUAAGGCCAUAGGUGAAUUUUAUAUACAAGGUCUCUUUAAAUUUUGCUUGUUGCCUGAUCACAUGUAAUGACUUUUUUCCGAGGAGUACGCAGGAAACAGCAAUCAGAAUGCAGUUUUAUAACAAUUCUUUUAGUGUUACUACAUUGAUGUUUUCACUGAGAUGCAAUAGACUAGGUGCCAAAGCAGAGCAUUAAGGCCGUCUGCGUCCUAAGGGAGGGAACAUGAGUAAUGUGUAAUGUGUUGCUGGUGGAAUUGGGCUGCUUCAGCCUCCCUGGUCUGCUAUACCCACCAGGUGUGCAGCACUUGCUUGUCUGGUGUGAUAUGCACUGAACCCCACUCGGUUACCCUUGUCUGGAACCCACAAACAAGCACUGUAGUCAGCGUUACAUAUGCAGGGUUGCUAAAAACACCCCCGCCCCUGGAGUUUAAAUCUCCAGGAAUAACUAUCUGAAUCUACAAACAAAAGAGCAAGUCAGUUAUUCUUCAAUCUUGUCCCUUAAGCAAAAAACUAAAGCACUCUACUCCAGAAAAGAUUUGGUUACCUGUUUUGCCUGCCUUAAAAAUCAGACAUAAAAGGACCUUGAAAUCUUCACCUGUGGUCAAUAAGAAUCACUUUAAAUUGCAGUAAUGACAUCACUUAAUAGAUAAAAAUGUCCCUUUCUCUAAAUUAGAAAUACUAAAGGUUCAUUGAUGAGAUUACAUUAAACCUGAGGUCUGGGUGACUAGAAUUAUGUCUUUGACAGCUUUUAAAACUCCUUACUCACUAGACAUAUGCCCAUACUAAUAUGCCACAUUGUACAAAUGUAGUGAGUUAGCACGAAUGUUCAUUUAAACUUGAGUCCUUAGGAUAAAAGAGCAAGUGUGUGAUUUGCUAUUGUGAGCUGUUCAGCUUUAUUGACUGUAUAAAUUAAAGUGCCUCCUUGCUGAAGUGCAUCUCUGUUUUGGGUUUCCGUAACAAGUCUCCAGUUAUCUGUACUUGUCUCAUAAAUGGUUUCAUAUCUAUAAAUGGGCACUUACAAGGUAAAAUAAUCUUUUUUAAAAAGAGUUUUGUAAGACUAUAGGUAUCACCAAAGACAUUUUACUGUUAGUAACCAUGUUAGAUAGAGACAGUUUGGGCAGUCCAGACGAUGGAAGCUGUUACAUUGUAACCUGAUUGUACAUAGGCAAUAGGAACCUUGAUUGGUUACUAAACUAUUACAGUGAAGAAGGCACUAGAGUGAGUUUUCUUGGAACAGUCAAAUGUGUUUCUUGCUACAGUGCGCAUGUCUCCCUUCAGAUACCUUCACUGGUUUGCUUUGGUUUGGUUUUUUGUUUGUUCAUUUUCAGCACCGUCUGGCGGGUCUUAGGAAAUCCUCAAAUAUGAGAAAAAUAAACAAUACAAAUAUCCUCCCCAUGAAAAAUGGGAGAAAUACAAACAUACU
Molecule: long non-coding RNA, 3136 nt
Filed under: Mus musculus (house mouse)
Lineage: Eukaryota; Metazoa; Chordata; Mammalia; Rodentia; Muridae
Description: long non-coding RNA chr19:36455907-36459043
Source: RNAcentral